Sinocyclocheilus anshuiensis is the source of this 786-nucleotide long non-coding RNA. RefSeq lists it as uncharacterized. The transcript is spliced from 4 exons. Lineage: Eukaryota; Metazoa; Chordata; Actinopteri; Cypriniformes; Cyprinidae. The record is from RefSeq and is a predicted model, not a curated record.
AACUAUCCUGGGAGUGUGCCCCUGUUGCUAUGCGACGUGAACUCCGGUGACAGGCUGACAGUUUGACCCCUGCUACGCUCGACAGUGACAGCAGCAGCAGCAGCAUGUCGUUCUCAUCUCGUCUCUCCAACUUCAACCUGAGGAGACAAAAAGAGAGAAACCCACAGAGAGAGAUUGUAACAAUGACAAAAUACUCUAUAUACUCAUCAUGUCAGAGGAGUUACUUCCUCUGAAAGGAUGGGAGUUUAGCAGAUGCUGGUCACUAUUGCAUGGAAAAGAGCUGCAUGAACAUCCUGCUAAACAUCUCCAGAAAACAAAGACAGUGCGGCAGCGCUGGAGCCCGAGCACCAAGGACGCGCGUCUGUUCCUCGCCACAAUAGACUAUUGAGAACAUGAGACACAAACAGGCUGAGGACUGACGCCGUCACCGCUGGAACAGACAGACAGAUGGACAGACGUAGAAAGGAGCAUUUACAUGAGCAGAUAUUUCAUUUCUCUGUCCGCUCACCCACCGCAUUCCUUUGUGUGGUCACUAUUAUCAUCUCUCUCUCUCUGUCUCUUUGUCAGCUGCCAGAUAUUAUUGUAUUUCUUCAGGAUCAGUUCUGGUCAUAUAAACGUCCUCAGUUUCUGUACUUGUGUGUCUGAUGGUGUGAAUGUGUAAACUGUCAUUUGUCUGACAGAGAGAAAUAAUCCUGUGAGUUACCACAUAUAACUUAAACAGUUCUGUGCUGUUAUUAUUUUUCACCUCUCUGGGAUACUUGAUGCUGAUUGGUUAAUCACUGCAUU